GAGCCUUGAUGUGUAGGAUAGGUGGGAGGCUUUGAAGUGUGGACGCCAGUCUGCAUGGAGCCGACCUUGAAAUACCACCCUUUAAUGUUUGAUGUUCUAACGUGGACCCGUAAUCCGGGUUGCGGACAGUGUCUGGUGGGUAGUUUGACUGGGGCGGUCUCCUCCUAAAGAGUAACGGAGGAGCACGAAGGUUGGCUAAUCCUGGUCGGACAUCAGGAGGUUAGUGCAAUGGCAUAAGCCAGCUUGACUGCGAGCGUGACGGCGCGAGCAGGUGCGAAAGCAGGUCAUAGUGAUCCGGUGGUUCUGAAUGGAAGGGCCAUCGCUCAACGGAUAAAAGGUACUCCGGGGAUAACAGGCUGAUACCGCCCAAGAGUUCAUAUCGACGGCGGUGUUUGGCACCUCGAUGUCGGCUCAUCACAUCCUGGGGCUGAAGUAGGUCCCAAGGGUAUGGCUGUUCGCCAUUUAAAGUGGUACGCGAGCUGGGUUUAGAACGUCGUGAGACAGUUCGGUCCCUAUCUGCCGUGGGCGCUGGAGAACUGAGGGGGGCUGCUCCUAGUACGAGAGGACCGGAGUGGACGCAUCACUGGUGUUCGGGUUGUCAUGCCAAUGGCACU
RNAcentral lists this ribosomal RNA (614 nucleotides) under Salmonella enterica subsp. enterica serovar Uganda. Its description in RNAcentral is "partial 23S ribosomal RNA". It matches the Rfam family "Bacterial large subunit ribosomal RNA", at positions 2126 to 2739 of the family's 2925-position model. The record is from RNAcentral. Lineage: Bacteria; Pseudomonadati; Pseudomonadota; Gammaproteobacteria; Enterobacterales; Enterobacteriaceae.